Molecule: ribosomal RNA, 253 nt
Filed under: uncultured bacterium
Lineage: Bacteria
Description: partial 16S ribosomal RNA
Rfam family: Bacterial small subunit ribosomal RNA
Source: RNAcentral
UACGUAGGGGGCAAGCGUUGUCCGGAUUUAUUGGGCGUAAAGAGCGUGUAGGCGGUUCGGUAGGUCCGUUGUGAAAACUCGAGGCUCAACCUCGAGACGCCGAUGGAAACCCCCGAACUAGAGUCCGGAAGAGGAGAGUGGAAUUCCUGGUGUAGCGGUGAAAUGCGCAGAUAUCAGGAGGAACACCGGUGGCGAAGGCGGGAUCCUGGGCCAGUACUGACGCUGAGGAGCGAAAGCGUGGGGAGCAAACAGG